GAUGGAUUGCGGGAAGAGUUAGAGGUUUUUUAUAUAAUUUUCUUGGCUUCUAUUUUACUUUACUAUUUUAUAUAUCUUCUUCUGUUUCUUGUCAACUUUUUUAUUUGUUUGUUUAUUAUUUAUUUGGCCUGUUGGGUGGCCUAAUAGGCCUAGUUGAGAACAUAUUCUUAAUUCAAAAAUAGAUAACUAGUCACCUAAUAUUUUAUUUUAUGG
RNAcentral lists this unclassified non-coding RNA (213 nucleotides) under Hevea brasiliensis (rubber tree). The record is from RNAcentral. Lineage: Eukaryota; Viridiplantae; Streptophyta; Magnoliopsida; Malpighiales; Euphorbiaceae.